RNAcentral lists this ribosomal RNA (1343 nucleotides) under uncultured bacterium. Its description in RNAcentral is "16S ribosomal RNA". It matches the Rfam family "Bacterial small subunit ribosomal RNA", at positions 28 to 1378 of the family's 1533-position model. The record is from RNAcentral.
GACGAACGCUGGCGGCGUGCUUAACACAUGCAAGUCGAACGGAAAGGCCCUGCUUUUGUGGGGUGCCCGAGUGGCGAACGGGUGAGUAACACGUGAGUAACCUGCCCUUGACUUUGGGAUAACUUCAGGAAACUAGGGCUAAUACCGGAUAGGAGCUCCUGCUGCAUGGUGGGGGUUGGAAAGUUUCGGCGGUUGGGGAUGGACUCGCGGCUUAUCAGCUUGUUGGUGGGGUAGUGGCUUACUAAGGCUUUGACGGGUAGCCGGCCUGAGAGGGUGACCGGCCACAUUGGGACUGAGAUACGGCCCAGACUCCUACGGGAGGCAGCAGUGGGGAAUAUUGCACAAUGGGCGGAAGCCUGAUGCAGCAACGCCGCGUGCGGGAUGACGGCCUUCGGGUUGUAAACCGCUUUCGCCUGUGACGAAGCGUGAGUGACGGUAAUGGGUAAAGAAGCACCGGCUAACUACGUGCCAGCAGCCGCGGUGAUACGUAGGGUGCGAGCGUUGUCCGGAUUUAUUGGGCGUAAAGGGCUCGUAGGUGGUUGAUCGCGUCGGAAGUGUAAUCUUGGGGCUUAACCCUGAGCGUGCUUUCGAUACGGGUUGACUUGAGGAAGGUAGGGGAGAAUGGAAUUCCUGGUGGAGCGGUGGAAUGCGCAGAUAUCAGGAGGAACACCAGUGGCGAAGGCGGUUCUCUGGGCCUUUCCUGACGCUGAGGAGCGAAAGCGUGGGGAGCGAACAGGCUUAGAUACCCUGGUAGUCCACGCUGUAAACGGUGGGUACUAGGUGUGGGGUCCAUUCCACGGGUUCCGUGCCGUAGCUAACGCUUUAAGUACCCCGCCUGGGGAGUACGGCCGCAAGGCUAAAACUCAAAGGAAUUGACGGGGCCCCGCACAAGCGGCGGAGCAUGCGGAUUAAUUCGAUGCAACGCGUAGAACCUUACCUGGGUUUGACAUGGAUCGGGAGUGCUCAGAGAUGGGUGUGCCUCUUUUGGGGUCGGUUCACAGGUGGUGCAUGGCUGUCGUCAGCUCGUGUCGUGAGAUGUUGGGUUAAGUCCCGCAACGAGCGCAACCCUUGUUCACUGUUGCCAGCACGUUAUGGUGGGGACUCAGUGGAGACCGCCGGGGUCAACUCGGAGGAAGGUGGGGAUGACGUCAAGUCAUCAUGCCCCUUAUGUCCAGGGCUUCACGCAUGCUACAAUGGCUGGUACAGAGAGUGGCGAGCCUGUGAGGGUGAGCGAAUCUCGGAAAGCCGGUCUCAGUUCGGAUUGGGGUCUGCAACUCGACCUCAUGAAGUCGGAGUCGCUAGUAAUCGCAGAACAGCAACGCUGCGGUGAAUACGUUCCCGGG